This 617-nucleotide long non-coding RNA is filed under the name Olea europaea (common olive). Its description in RNAcentral is "long non-coding RNA (OEUR_LNC003750)". The record is from RNAcentral. Lineage: Eukaryota; Viridiplantae; Streptophyta; Magnoliopsida; Lamiales; Oleaceae.
UCUUCUUCCUGCGGUUCCAAGGAAUCCAGCUAGGGCGGCCGCCCUAGCUCGCCAACACCUAGAUCCGCCAUUGUAACACUGUACCCACCCCAAACUGUAUAAUCUCUCUCUUCAUGAAUUCUCAAUCCUUCGUACCAACUCUCAAAUGUGUUAAACCAGAAGGGGAACAUGACCAUCUAGCCUCACCAGUGGCAGCAAAAUUUACCACUCUAAAUCUAAGCAAUCCGAUCAACAUCAACCUGAAUUCCACAAAUCUUAGUUGUACGUUCAACACCACCUGCAUCUCAGCAACGUCGUCUUCCUCAUCUUCUUCUCUAUAAUUGGUCCAGUGAUGGGUAAUUUAUGUAUAUGUGUACUGAUCUCUGUGUAUGUAUGCAGCGCACGAUCAAUCUAUAUAUAUGUGUGCAGAUCUGCGUUUAUAGAAACGACGUCGAUUUGUGUGUAUGUAUGGUGGUAUGAUGUAGUGGUGGCGAUCGUGGUGAAGUGGCGAUGGUGCAAGUGGUGCUACGUUGGAUGUAGUGGUGGUGGUAGAUUUUGGAUCUGAUGCAACGGCGAUGACAUUUUGGGUGAUGAUGGUGGUGGAGAGGAUGUGAUCAGGUGGGGAGAUGAAGGAUAAU